RNAcentral lists this ribosomal RNA (903 nucleotides) under uncultured Bacillota bacterium. Its description in RNAcentral is "bacterial SSU rRNA". It matches the Rfam family "Bacterial small subunit ribosomal RNA", at positions 1 to 917 of the family's 1533-position model. The record is from RNAcentral. Lineage: Bacteria; Bacillati; Bacillota.
UGGAUCCAGACUUUGAUCAUGGCUCAGGACGAACGCUGGCGGCGUGCCUAACACAUGCAAGUCGAACGGAGCUCCGCCCUUCGGGACGGAACUUAGUGGCGAACGGGUGAGUAACGCGUGAAGAACCUGCCUUUCAGUGGGGGACAACAGUCGGAAACGACUGCUAAUACCGCAUGAUGUUCUUUGGGGGCAUCUCUAAGGAACCAAAGCUUAAUGUGCUGAAAGAUGGCUUCGCGUCUGAUUAGCUAGUUGGCGGGGUAACGGCCCACCAAGGCGACGAUCAGUAGCCGGUCUGAGAGGAUGAACGGCCACAUUGGGACUGAGAUACGGCCCAGACUCCUACGGGAGGCAGCAGUGGGGAAUAUUGGGCAAUGGGGGAAACCCUGACCCAGCAACGCCGCGUGAAGGAAGAAGGCCUUCGGGUUGUAAACUUCUUUUACCAGGGACGAAGGACGUGACGGUACCUGGAGAAAAAGCAACGGCUAACUACGUGCCAGCAGCCGCGGUAAUACGUAGGUUGCAAGCGUUGUCCGGAUUUACUGGGUGUAAAGGGCGUGUAGGCGGAGGCGCAAGUUGGGAGUGAAAUCUAUGGGCUCAACCCAUAAACUGCUCUCAAAACUGUGCCCCUUGAGUAUCGGAGAGGCAAGCGGAAUUCCUAGUGUAGCGGUGAAAUGCGUAGAUAUUAGGAGGAACACCAGUGGCGAAGGCGGCUUGCUGGACGACAACUGACGCUGAGGCGCGAAAGCGUGGGGAGCAAACAGGAUUAGAUACCCUGGUAGUCCACGCUGUAAACGAUGAAUACUAGGUGUGGGAGGACUGACCCCUUCCGUGCCGCAGUUAACACAAUAAGUAUUCCACCUGGGGAGUACGACCGCAAGGUUGCAACUCAAAUGAAUUGACGGA